GGUUUAUAGCUCAGUGGUAGAGCACUUGCCUAGCACGUGUGAGGCACUGGGUUCGAUUCUCAGCACCA
RNAcentral lists this transfer RNA (68 nucleotides) under Marmota monax (woodchuck). It matches the Rfam family "tRNA". Rfam says of the family: Transfer RNA (tRNA) molecules are approximately 80 nucleotides in length. The record is from Rfam by way of RNAcentral. Lineage: Eukaryota; Metazoa; Chordata; Mammalia; Rodentia; Sciuridae.